UACAGAGGUCUCAAGCGUUGUUCGGAUUCAUUAGGCGUAAAGGGUGCGUAGGCGGCGCGGUAAGUCGGGUGUGAAAUCUCGGAGCUUAACUCCGAAACUGCAUUCGAUACUGCCGUGCUUGAGGACUGGAGAGGAGACUGGAAUUUACGGUGUAGCGGUGAAAUGCGUAGAUAUCGUAAGGAAGACCAGUGGCGAAGGCGGGGUCUCUGGACAGUUCCUGACGCUGAGGCACGAAGGCCAGGGGAGCAAACGGG
RNAcentral lists this ribosomal RNA (254 nucleotides) under uncultured bacterium. RNAcentral describes it as "partial 16S ribosomal RNA". It matches the Rfam family "Bacterial small subunit ribosomal RNA", at positions 524 to 776 of the family's 1533-position model. The record is from RNAcentral.